RNAcentral lists this long non-coding RNA (735 nucleotides) under Helianthus annuus (common sunflower). RNAcentral describes it as "sRNA HanXRQr2_Chr16g0758411". Lineage: Eukaryota; Viridiplantae; Streptophyta; Magnoliopsida; Asterales; Asteraceae. The record is from RNAcentral.
AUGUUGGAAACUUCUUCUUCCGUGCUAGUGGGAGUAGAGGCCGGUGGUGGUGAUAUGGCAGAGUUAAUGGUUGUGGUCACAUGAAUACGUCACAAUUACCAUUGUAGGGUCCGCUCGGUUUCUCUCUACUUGUUUUCUUGCUGGACAACCUUUCGAACUACUACAUCUAUAAUAGCCCCUGCCAAAAAUAAUAAUUGAGGCUUAUUAGUUUCUUAAUCCUCGUUUUUCUUGCAUUAGCAUCUUGUAAACAUCAAUGUAUUUUAAUAUUCAAUUUUAAAAUUAGUUUAUCACAAUACCCUAUUAUUCUAAAUUAUCAACCAACGUUGUAACUUGGGAGUUGAAUUCUCAAAGUAAAUGGUAUUUCUUUAAAAAUAAUUAGGAAGAUACAAUGUAAUUAAAAAAGAAAAAGAAAGAAAACAAAAAUCUCAAUUAUUUUCUUAUAAUUCAGAAAGUUAAAAUAUUGUAAUUACAACUUCUGUCUAUAACUUGUUUAAUUUCUUUUCAAUUAUAUAUGCAUAUAUUAGUUAAAAGAUUAUGAAUUUUAGAUGUAGGAACAUGUAUAAUUGAAGAACACAAUAAUGUUUUCCAACAAUUUAUGUGCAAAAUUCUUUAUUUCAAUUAAGAACCUCAAUUACCUUAAAUUAAUUAUAUUAUGAACUUGUUAAACUAAACAAACUUUGGAGUGUAAACUUACCGAGGGUAAGGUGAGCCUUUGAUGGGUUUCUGACCAUAUUU